Molecule: long non-coding RNA, 106 nt
Organism: Trachemys scripta elegans
Lineage: Eukaryota; Metazoa; Chordata; Testudines; Emydidae
Exons: 3
Source: RefSeq, a predicted model, not a curated record
AAGAAAACCCCAAACCUAAACCUGUAUCCUUCUCAGAUUGCUGAGAAUAUUCCCUGUAUUGUGUAUUACAAUGAUGCUACCGAGAAUAUUGUUCUACAAUAGUUGG